This 252-nucleotide ribosomal RNA is filed under the name uncultured bacterium. RNAcentral's name for it is "partial 16S ribosomal RNA". It matches the Rfam family "Bacterial small subunit ribosomal RNA", at positions 524 to 775 of the family's 1533-position model. The record is from RNAcentral.
UACGUAGGGUGCAAGCGUUAAUCGGAAUUACUGGGCGUAAAGCGUGCGCAGGCGGUUAUGUAAGACAGAUGUGAAAUGCCCGGGCUUAACCUGGGAACUGCAUUGUGACUGCAUGGCUAGAGUGUGUCAGAGGGGGGUAGAAUUCCACGUGUAGCAGUGAAAUGCGUAGAUAUGUGGAGGAACACCGAUGGCGGAAGGCAGCCCCCUGGGAUAACACUGACGCUCAUGCACGAAAGCGUGGGGAGCAAACAG